ACAUCAAGAUAGACUCCAUGACUAUUCAACUUGGAAAUUGUAGGUAGAAUACCUUUGCAAAUUCGCCACAAGAAUAUUUUAACUUUAUUUGGUAUUUGAGUUUUCACAAGUGGGGCCAAAUAUCAUCCAUAGAGCCAUUACUCCGUGAAGCUACAUCUUGCCAAUUUUUAGAGUCUAUUUUGUAACGACCCCACCUCCUCCUAGGGCCUACCCUAGAAGUUAGCUGAUCGCCUGCUUGGCUCUCGCCAGGAUUCAUUAAUUUCACAUUAACUUCAGAGAUAACAUUUUGAUAAACCAAAACCAAAUGCUCAAAUCUUUUACAAUACCAAAUUCAAUACAAAAGCUUCAACCAUAAUAUGAUACUAAAGGAUUUACAAUCACAAAAGUCUUCACGUUAACUCCCUAAGAUCCCUCGUUCGUUCCCCUACCACCAACUCCUGUAAGGAAAACAAAGUUGAGGGGAUGAGCUUACGCCCAGUGAAGUUUCCAUGCAAGCAACGAUCAAUAAACACUUACUAGAUAAGCCAAUAACAAAAUUAAGCAACUAAGGAACACUUCACUGCAUAAAUUAGAGAACACUUCAUUGAACAAUCAUUUUGAAAAGGAUACGGUGCUCGCAUUAGAGCCACUUCCUUCUAGGAGUCAUUUCAAUAUCAUUGCACACUCGUUUCAAUGUCAUUGUACAUUCAUUUCAGUGUCAUGAGACACUCAUUUCAAUAUCAUUGCACACUCCGCCAAUUCACCUCCUUAUGUCCUCCAAAACAAUAAACAAUCCCCUACAUUCAAUGAUCAGUUCAAUAAUUUUCCAACUUCAAGGUAAUACUCGAGUAUACCGAAACAUUUACCCAAAGUUUCUGUCCUAUCCGACCAAGCCCUUUGCUGGCUCGAACAGUCCGUUGAACAGAGGGUUUUGGGGCCUAGUUCAGCCGAUGCGGUGAAGUACACAUACGGCUUACAUUCAUGCACACUUACAGUAACAUUUGGUCAAUUAUCAACCUUCAAACUCAACUAAACCGAGUGCAAUAAAGUAUACCACUGACUUAGAAGGCGAGGGACAAUUGAGAUACACUUUACAAUAAAUCACUAGCAAUAUUCCAUAAUAAGCACAUUUAUCACAUAAUUUCACUUAAGUAAACAUAAACAGUUAAACACACAAAUUCGGAAACACUCACCAAAUUCCAAACAAAUUACUCUCAAGCAUCGGGUUUGCUUUCUGGCUCACAGCUACCCCCCUGAGAUAAAUUUAUAACUCUAAAAUGUAGAUACAAUUCGUCGAUAACCAUUUGUCAUUUGUUACCUUAUAAUUUAAACUUAUUAAAGUCAAGUUUUGGCUUUAAAAUACAAGAUAUAAUAUAUCCAACCUUUUCUUAAAUUUUAUCUCGAAACUUAUCAACUUUAUCAUUUUAAACAAAGAAAUAUACAUAUUCUAAGUUUAUAGUCUUAUAAGACGUUUAGCCUAAGAUUAAACCAUUUUCUAUCCAAUAUUCUAAGAUUAAGGCAAAUAGACUUUUCAUUCCUUCCUUUUUAAGUUAAAUCAAAGGCUAGUUUACCUGUAGUUUAAAUCUCAUUAAAUUUAUUAGUUUUCAAGAUUUGAGUUCCUUAAAAUACUCAUAAAAAUAGUUCCAAGUUGCUAUAAGAUACUCCACAAAACUUCACAACCAAUUAACCUAAAUUUUCCAAAAUUUCAUGAGAGUUUCAUUUCUUCCCUCAUUCGGUCAGCAAGGACAGGACUUCAGCUCAAAUGUUUCUAAAUCUUUAACAACCUUCACCUUUUAAUUGCUUAAAUUUUAAUUACUUAGUAUACAUUCCAUCCAAGGUGAAAAGCUCAUAAUUUCAGUCUAUUGAUCGACCAUCAUUAUACACAAAAUCUGUCAUUUAUUAUCACAACAAUUAACUAAGUUUUCUAGCAAUAUAUCAGUCCAAUAUUUAGUGUGUUUCCUUAAAUCUUUCCUUUCUAUCUUAUGUCCCAAUUAGACAGGUUAAUUACAUUUAUUAGGCUACAAAGUCGCUUUGUACAGAACCUCCCUCAGUCAUGAUGUACUUCAGCAUACGAAUUCACAGCUUCCUCUCCAUUUGCUUUAGUGUAACCUUACUUAUGAUGCUAAACAUAGCUUCUAAACCACAGGGUAACCUCAGUUAUCACCUGUGGAAGUUCACCGAAUCUGUCAUCCUUACUUGCAUUAGCUGUUAGUUUUCUAACAAUGUAGCAGCUUAAAUUUGUAGCCUUUACUCCCUAAUUUCUUCAAUUUAACUCAACUUAUGGUGCUAAACACGUUUGCUAAUCACCGAGCAGUUUUAGCUGUCAUCUGUGCAAGUUUGUGGUGUUAGAAAUUGGAGGAAAUGUUGUUCCAGAAUUUAUUUCCCCCCCUCUCAACCUCACAGCAGGUUGCAUCAGCUCCCUUUUACCAAGUUUAGCUAGACUUCCUGAGGUUUUCUGACUUCCUAAGGCUCCUAUCUGUUCGGUCAAAGGUUUAACAAAUUUUCCAUGUAUUCAUUAAUAAGAGUUCCAGAAUCAGCAACAACAAUUGCACAGCCUGCUUCAUUCCCUCGGCCAACCAACCUGCAAUCACCUGCACUCAUUCCUCCUUUAACGUUAAGUUUAGUUUCUACUUGUUUCUGUCUUUCUUGUUGAAGUUUAUGGACUUUAUGAUAUGUUACAGCUUACUACACAGGUUUAAGAGCUAAGGAGAUAUCUAGAACUUCCUACCUGUUCUGCUCAGUCGAAGCCAACAGGUUUCAACAGGUAGUGAGUUUGUAGCAAUUUUUUCUCCUUUCAUUCCUCCUCAGUUUCAUAUUCUAAUCAAAUGUACAGAGUAUAUUGAUUCCACCACAAAUUAUCCUAGCAAAACAUGGCAGAUUAUGGCCGGAAUUUAAAAGGAAACUGGAUGAAAUCUCAGGGCUACGCAAGGCUGUAAAACCUGAUGCAUAGCAGCCUGCAUCAGAUUUCCUUCAUGCUCAAAGUUCCAAUUUUCACAAGUUCCUAUAGCUAAAUUUCACCUUAUACCAGAAACAAACAUGUUCAUGUAUUUUCUACUCUACUCUUCCAUAUUUCCAUUGAUAACAGCCUGCAAUCUCAGUCAAUUAUCUCUCGGUUCCAACAGGUUCAUUUAAAUAAUCAGUUGAUUCUCAAACCAGAAUUUCCUCAGUCGAAGCUCACUUUUCUCUGCUAAAACUCAACUUACAGCUUGUAUAUUCAUUCUAUUGACCGCAUAAGCAAGAUAUUAUUGCAGGUUCUUAAAAUUAUUAUCUCAGAAAUAUUAAGAACGGUUGCAAGUUCCAGUUUAAGCUCAGUUUCUGCAAUUUCACAGUUUCUGCACAACACUUUCUUGAACCAGAAGCUAAAUUUCUAACUAAACUCAACUUAUAGCUCAUGUUUAACCAAUUAUUCUAUCUAAACAGUGAGUUGUUAUGGAGAGUGUUACCUUUUUCCCCUUAAGUUUCGUUGGUGCAGGUUGCUUAAGUCUCUGUCUCGGUUCCUCAGUCCUAAUUCCAGCUUCUCCUGUCUUCCUUACUGUAUCUUCCUUAUCUUUGGUUGUAUGGUGAUAAAACUAGCUAUGCUCUUGCUCUCACUUCCUCACUCUCUCUGUUUUUCUCUCAAUGUUAGCUUGAUAAGAAGAGGGACUGCAGUUUCGUUUUGCUCUCAGCCACCGCCCAGGUAUUCUUAACAAAUGUUGGUAGUAAAUUUCUCCCUGACAGCUGUCUUAAUAGGUGUUAUUCACUGCCCCAC
This 3727-nucleotide long non-coding RNA is filed under the name Coffea arabica (coffee). Its description in RNAcentral is "long non-coding RNA (CARA_LNC005624)". The record is from RNAcentral. Lineage: Eukaryota; Viridiplantae; Streptophyta; Magnoliopsida; Gentianales; Rubiaceae.